Long non-coding RNA from Vespula pensylvanica (western yellowjacket), 969 nucleotides. RefSeq lists it as uncharacterized. Lineage: Eukaryota; Metazoa; Arthropoda; Insecta; Hymenoptera; Vespidae. The record is from RefSeq and is a predicted model, not a curated record. The transcript is spliced from 2 exons.
UUAACCAUAAAUUGGAAAUGAUAAAAAUUUUACUUAUUUCUUUGUAUAUAAUUAAACAGAUUUUGUAUGGCUUGCUUCUAUGAGGUUAACUAAGAAAAACUAUGUAACAACGUGGUAUGAUACUUAACUGUAAAUUGAAAAUGAAAUAAUUUUACAAUUUACUUUAUAGGAAAUUACACGGAUUUUAUUUGGACUCCUUGUAUAUGUUUAACUGUGAAAAACAAUGUAAGUUAAUAUUUUGUAGAAAUUAUCUCCGAGUGAUUGUAUUUCAUACAUAUUCUCAGGUGGGGUUCUCUAUCACUAACAAUAGUAUUGUUACUUACAAACCAUAGAGAUCAUCGUGUCUUAAAAAUUGAAUAAAGAAAGAAUGGGGUAUAAGUGAGGAUUAAUAUAGGCAAAAAGAUUGCUAACAGUACACGGUGUUCUCAAGCAGUAACCCAUCCAAGUACUAACCGUGUUCAGCAUUUCUUAACUUCAGUGACCGAACGAGGACUGGUGCAACAACAUGGUAUAACUGUUAACCGAAAAUUUAAAUCAAAAAAUAGUUUACAAUUUGCAUUAUGGAAGCUAUCUGCGAAUGCUUGUUAUUCAUACAUAUUCUCAACAUGAAUCUUACAAUACUUACAAUGGUAUAUUUAUUAUAAAAAUAGAAAGAUCAUUGUGUCCCGAAAAUUAAAUGAAUAUAAAGGAGGGUAAAAGUGAGGGUUAAAAUAGGCAGAAGAAUGCUAACAAUACAUGGUGUUCCCAAGCGUUCAUCCAUCCAUGUACUAACUGUCCAAUGUUGCUUAACUUCAGUGAUUGGACGAGAACUUGUGUUACUACGUGAUAUUAACUAGAGUUGGAAUCUUACGAGUUACUUUUAAUUAUAGUAUUACAUUUAUUUUUUGGUAUGAUGGAUGUACGAUAAAAUUUACUUCAUAUUUUUAACUUAUAACGAUAUUUUUUAUUUAAUAUAUUUAGAUACAAAUA